RNAcentral lists this ribosomal RNA (440 nucleotides) under uncultured bacterium. RNAcentral describes it as "partial 16S ribosomal RNA". It matches the Rfam family "Bacterial small subunit ribosomal RNA", at positions 338 to 795 of the family's 1533-position model. The record is from RNAcentral.
CCUACGGGUGGCAGCAGUGGGGAAUAUUGCACAAUGGGGGAAACCCUGAUGCAGCGACGCAGCGUGAAGGAAGAAGUAUUUCGGUAUGUAAACUUCUAUCAGCAGGGAAGAAAAUGACGGUACCUGACUAAGAAGCCCCGGCUAACUACGUGACAGCAGCCGCGGUAAGACGUAGGGGGCCAGCGUUAUCCGGAUUUACUGGGUGGAAAGGGAGCGUAGGCGUUUUAGCAAGUCAGAAGUGAAAGCCCGGGGAGCAACUCCGGGACUGCUUUUGAAACUGUUGAACUAGAUUGCAGGAGAGGUAAGUGGAAUUCCUAGUGUAGCGGUGAAAUGCGUAGAUAUUAGGAGGAACACCAGUGGCGAAGGCGGCUUACUGGACUGUAAAUGACGCUGAGGCUCGAAAGCGUGGGGAGCAAACAGGAUUAGAUACCCCUGUAGUC